AGCAGCCGCGGUAAUUCCAGCUCCAAUAGCGUAUAUUAAAGUUGUUGCAGUUAAAAAAGCUCGUAGUUGAAUUUCGGGGUUAGUACGCUGGUCAUGCCUUCGGUAUGUACUGGUGUUACCGAUUCCUACCUUCUGAAGAACCGUCAUGUCAUUAAUUUGGUGUGGCGGGGAAUCAGGACUGUUACUUUGAAAAAAUUAGAGUGUUUAAAGCAGGCUCGCGCUUGAAUACAUUAGCAUGGAAUAAUGAAAUAGGACGUUCGAUCCUAUUUUGUUGGUUUCUAGGAUUGACGUAAUGAUUAAUAGGGAUAGUUGGGGGCAUUAGUAUUCAAUUGUCAGAGGUGAAAUUCUUGGAUUUAUUGGAGACUAACUACUGCGAAAGCAUUUGCCAAGGAUGUUUUCAUUAAUCAAGAACGAAAGUUAGGGGAUCGAAGACGAUCAGAUACCGUCGUA
Molecule: ribosomal RNA, 450 nt
Filed under: uncultured Glomeromycotina
Lineage: Eukaryota; Fungi; Glomeromycota
Description: SSU rRNA
Rfam family: Eukaryotic small subunit ribosomal RNA
Source: RNAcentral